CUGGAACACCUCCUUUCUGGAGAGGAUCCAAAGUAAAGGUUUUUGUUUUUGUACUGCUGUUGUUGUUUAUUCAAGAUAUGAUUCCGUAUUAAGACGGAAGAGAGAAAGUAAGAAGCCGGGUCUAAUGGAACAGACUAGGUUGAACUUAGUCCUAUAGCUCAGUUGGUUAGAGCGCUACACUGAUAACGUAGAGGUCGGCAGUUCAACUCUGCCUGGGACUACGAAUCUUGAGAUUCGGGGGAUUAGCUCAGCUGGCUAGAGCAUCUGCCUUGCACGCAGAGGGUCAACGGUUCGAAUCUGUUAUUCUCCACUCCAUCAGAAACGUAAGAUACGAAGAUGACCGAUCUAUGACAUAUUGUACAAGCAAACAGUAAUUUUAGUAGUAAAGAGCUGAAAGUAUAUAUCAUCCCGCUGGCACGCAAGUGUGAGCGAAUGGAUAAGGAAAGUAAAGAAGGGCGCAUGGUGAAUGCCU
RNAcentral lists this transfer RNA (472 nucleotides) under uncultured Bacteroides sp. RNAcentral's name for it is "partial contains 16S ribosomal RNA, 16S-23S ribosomal RNA intergenic spacer, and 23S ribosomal RNA". The stretch from base 148 to 221 matches the Rfam family "tRNA". Lineage: Bacteria; Pseudomonadati; Bacteroidota; Bacteroidia; Bacteroidales; Bacteroidaceae. The record is from RNAcentral.